AUGAUAAAGGAGGAGCGUGAGGAGUUUUCCCGUAAGAUGGCGAAGAUGCGUCUUGAGAUUGAAGAAAAGUAUAAGCGGGACUGUGAGUACAUGGAAAAAAGUUUGUCCUUGGCUACAAGGAAAUGCAUCAAAUGUUGCAGAAGGACCGGAAGCUUGUGGACAGUAUUAUACAGACAGAGCGAGUCAGGAUGGAUGCGUAUGUGUUGCAGGCACGUGCGGAUAUGGAUAGUAAGCUGCUACAGGAGCGGUCGGACAUGGAUUAUAAGGCCAUGCUGGAGAAGGUCCGCUUGGAAGGACAUAUGUUAG
Molecule: ribosomal RNA, 306 nt
Filed under: Triticum aestivum (bread wheat)
Lineage: Eukaryota; Viridiplantae; Streptophyta; Magnoliopsida; Poales; Poaceae
Description: partial small subunit ribosomal RNA
Source: RNAcentral